UUUAAUCGCCAGAUCUGUCUGUUCCUAUUCUUUCUUAGAGAAACCUAAAACACAAACCCUCCAUCUACUCUCACUCUCUCUUGCGAUUCUAUACCUAGAAUAAACUCAUCUCUGGAUCCACUUUCAAGUCGACCCCAAUCACCGAUUUCCUCUGGUUAUGCUAAAAACGUCUAGGGAUUUGCAGAUCUUGAAAAGAGAAGAGAAAUAUAAAGAGAACGUUGCGGGCUAUGACCUCCGACGACGAUAAAGCAGGUCAUCACCUAAGUUCAGCACAUAAGCAGGGUUUGCUGUGUUAAGGGAUGGCCAAAGAAGGGAUUACAUCAUCAUCCCAGCAUCAGCAACUUUCUUUCUUUUCAAAACUGCAGCAUACCAGGAGUAUAAUAAGACUAAACAUCCACAACUUUUGUAUGAAGCUAGGAGUACAAUGUUCACUCUGAAUGAUAUGAUUUGUAAUGUUUUAGUUUCACUUGUAGGUGGUAUACCUUCCAUAAGGUCCGGUGUAGAUGGAGAGGAUAAUGUUUUAAUUAUUGAUUUGCUAGGACCGAGUCUUGAGGACCCGUUUGUGUAUUGUGGGAGGAACUUUCAUUUGAAAACAGUCUUGAUGUUGGCUGAUUAAAUGGUAAGUUGUGUAUAUACCAUAUUUGAACAUUGUACCUCUUUUAUAUGGAUGUCACCUUCCAGGUGGAUUUAUGGUUUUUCACAAUCAGGUGCUAAAAACGCUCUGCACCAGCCUGAGUGGGCCUGAACCAGCCUUGUGGUUCCUUUGUUUGACUUAAAUCCACUCUAUAGUCAUCUCUCUUGCCAAAUUUCAUUAAAACCACACUAAAAAAUAUAGUACACUUAAAAAAUAUAUAUGAGAUCUAUCAUCUGUAUGAUCAGUAUUUUACCCAGAGCGAUCAGGAGAAGCUGCUUGCUAGGUACUCUUUUAUAACUAAACUUGCAUGGAAUUUGUUUGAUUGUCUGAUUUUUCUGAAUGCUAUGGGGCUCUUUUUGUUUCUUUGUAAAUAUGGAGUAUUUUUUAAGAACGGGUAUCUGUAAGUUUGGAGCAUCUUGUAAGUUUCACAAUUCUAGACAUACGGGUGGAUCUUUGAGUGACGGUUUUAGUUUUUUAUUUGAAGUUAUUGGUCUAAAUGAUUACCUGGUAGCUAAUGUUGUUAUUUUUUACCAUGUUGAGGUUAGUCAAAACUGUUUUUUCUAUAAUUAUUUUUAAUUUUUGAAUUAAGUGAUAUUAACACUUGUAUUGUGGAGGUUAAAAUUGAUCUAAGUUACAGGGUCUAUGAUGCUGGUCUUUAUGGCGGAUUUAUGUGUGGCCGAGGGGUAGCCCGGUAUACCCCUCAAUUUUUUCCGCGAAGUGCAAUUUUAUGUUAGGUAAAGAUAAAAAUGAAAGGAAGUUUUGUGGUUGACGGAAACGAAAGUUUCCUAUAGACUGCAGCGAUGUUUUCCGAUGGACUGCAGCAGCACUUGUUAUUUAUUGGAGAAGAUGAAGUUAUAUGUUUAUAUUAAUAUAUUUAUAUGGUCAUGGGGAACAUGAAUGAAAAUCAAACUGCAAAAUCGAAUUAAUAAAUUGGUCAAACUUGAAUUAUAUUUAUCCAUGCAAUAUGGAUUUGGGCUGGGUCGAAGUUGGGUAUUAUUUGAGUUCUUCUUUCAGUGUGAGGUGUGGUGGGUGACUUGGGUUUUGGGUUAGAAGAUGACCCGACAGAAGAAGACGCUUGCGGUUGUCAAUUUGGAUAGUAUUUAUGUGAAUUGCGUGCGUGUUUGAUCCAAUUGAAGAUGACCCCACAGAAGAAGACGCUUGAGGCGGGAAUCCAGCCAAUAUAAUUCAGUGCUUGAAACAUGUGGACUUAAAGGAUGUUGCAAGACCCGUUGCGUUUCUAGCCAAAAUGACGGGUCAUGGGCCACUGGUUGUACAACUCCUUGGCAAGGGUCUGCUGAAUCCAAAUUCAAUGAGACGGUUACUUGAUAAUUCUUCACCAAGGGAAGUCAAACUGGAUGUUCUAAUGAUAGUUUCAGAUGUAGCUCGUAUGCAUAAGGAUUUUUAUGAGCACAUAAAGGGAGCAGACAUCUUGGAACACUUGAAAGGCUUUCUUACACAUGAAGAUCCUAAUAUACGUGCUAAGUAGUGCAGUGCUCUAGGAAACAUGUGCCGACAUAACUCCUACUUCUAUAGCUUGUUGUCUUUGACUAAUACUCGGGCAUUUUUUUCUUGGAUUGUUGAGCCUUCAUUAUUAAUCUUGGGGAUAUGAUGGAACGAUGGACAAAUUGUUGUUCAGAUAACACUACGCCGAGUUAUGCCAACUGGGAAAGAGCGAUAUUCUAUGGCGUUGUUUUUGGAUCCUAAUCCCGAUUGUAUUGUUGAGUGCUUGAAAAGCUGCUGCAGCAACUCAUCUCCUCCAAGGUUUCCUCCAAUACAUAGUGGAGACCACCUGAGGGAUCGUAUCAAUGCUGCCUAUUCCUCUUCCUCAUAGAAUGUAUUUGCAGUUGCUAUCUUAAAAGUCUUGAGUUAUUGUAUAAUCAAAGAUAUAACUUUAUAAAAAAUGUUUUAUGUAGUAUGGAUACAAGAUUUUUUACUACCCCAAUGAUUUUAGUUCUAGGUGUAACUAAAUGUUCAUUUUUAUGUUUAUUU
This 2623-nucleotide long non-coding RNA is filed under the name Helianthus annuus (common sunflower). The record is from RNAcentral. Lineage: Eukaryota; Viridiplantae; Streptophyta; Magnoliopsida; Asterales; Asteraceae.